RNAcentral lists this ribosomal RNA (497 nucleotides) under uncultured bacterium. RNAcentral's name for it is "partial 16S ribosomal RNA". It matches the Rfam family "Bacterial small subunit ribosomal RNA", at positions 28 to 507 of the family's 1533-position model. The record is from RNAcentral.
GACGAACGCUGGCGGCGUGCCUAAUACAUGCAAGUAGAACGCUGAAGAGAGGAGCUUGCUCUUCUUGGGUGAGUUGCGAACGGGUGAGUAACGCGUAGGUAACCUGCCUGGUAGCGGGGGAUAACUAUUGGAAACGAUAGCUAAUACCGCAUAAAAUUGAUUAUUGCAUGAUAAUUAAUUGAAAGAUGCAACUGCAUCACUACCAGAUGGACCUGCGUUGUAUUAGCUAGUUGGUGAGGUAACGGCUCACCAAGGCGACGAUACAUAGCCGACCUGAGAGGGUGAUCGGCCACACUGGGACUGAGACACGGCCCAGACUCCUACGGGAGGCAGCAGUAGGGAAUCUUCGGUAAUAGGGGGAACCCUGACCGAGCAACGCCGCGUGAGUGAAGAAGGUUUUCGGAUCGUAAAGCUCUGUUGUAAGAGAAGAACGGGUGUGAGAGUGGAAAGUUCACACUGUGACGGUAUCUUACCAGAAAGGGACGGCUAACUGCGUG